Molecule: long non-coding RNA, 6844 nt
Organism: Tympanuchus pallidicinctus (lesser prairie-chicken)
Lineage: Eukaryota; Metazoa; Chordata; Aves; Galliformes; Phasianidae
Exons: 2
Source: RefSeq, a predicted model, not a curated record
CAGGGAUCCCUUCUGGUGGAGUAUCUGGUGAGCCCUGGUCUUUGGGGCAGAUUGUCUUUAAGUACCUGUUCUGUGGCAGUUGCUUGUUGGAUCUUUGUCAUUAAGUUGUCACUAGAAGUCCUUUGUUCUGUUCCUCGCUGUCUCCAUGUGUGACUUUGAGACAAAUGGUUUCUGUUGGCUGGGGCACAUCAGAUGUCUCUUAGAUGGUUAUGGGGAGCAGCUGUAUCACAGAAUCACAUAAUAUCUUGAGUUGGAAGGGACUCACAAGGACCACUUAAUCCAACUCCUGGCUUCACAUGGGACCACCCAAAAUUCAAGCCCAGUGCCUUGAACUUCGGAAGCCUUGGGGCCACCAUCAUUGCACGGUUCCCCAGUGAGGUGGGACCCUUCUGGUCUGCAAGAGACGAGGUGAGCAGAUCCUCCUAUGUGUGCACUGAUUCCCAGUGCUGCCUUAGCUCACGAAGCCUUGGAGACAAAGGUGAAACGAAGGGAGCCUUCACCAUGUUGUGGCUGCUUCACGACCCUUUGGGCAGGUUCUUGGCCACUGCAACAACCUCCAUCCCGAAGCAGGUGGAGGGAAGAGCUCCUUGGUCAUCCUGAAAUCCCACUCCUUGGGUCAUGCUGUUUGACCCAAGAGAUGCUAAGCCAUAGCCCAGAGCAACCGGAAAUGAAGGUGAUGAAGGAAUUUGUAAUUAAAUUGCCAUUAGAUGGAUAACAGAUUGCCUGACAGCUGACAGUGAGUGAAAGCGUUCUAUCCUGUCAUGUUUUAUCAGCAUGAAAACCAUUUGCAAGUGCUCUAAUUACACUCCUAAUUGCCAAUGUGAUUAGGGACCUGCAGCUGUUCAUUAAACGUGUGUCACCCUCAGCCAGCAAUCUGCAGGAGAGAGUAUUUAAUUAAUUGAAUAGCACACUGGAUGAAAGCUGGAGGUGGACAACCUGGGAGCUGGGCGAGGAGCGGAGGAACCUAGCACCUAAAAGAGCUGGUGUGGCAGGUUGUCUGACACCAACAGAGCUGCUGCUGUGCAGACAUGCCCCAGAGAAUCAGAAAGCCAUGUAACAGGUCAGAAAUGAACAGGAGUUAGCAAGGAACAGGGCAUUCCCCUUCCAAUUCACCUACUGCUUUUGGAUGCUUGCUCUCUUGGUGCCUCCAUGCUUAGCAGUGCUGGUGGGAGAGCCUUGAGGCACAUCAGGAGAAGAUUUAGGAGGCAUCACCUUUUCCAUUUCCAUUUAGUGAGUGUCCGUAGUGAUAUUUUCUUGAGAACUAAUUCUGUGUUUUGUGGAUUUUCUCUAAGUUCAAAGCGCAAGGUCAGCUGCAUUGUUUUACUGUUUCAUCCCAACGGCAGGAUGUAGAGUAGCCCAGGCUAAGAGGGACCACAAAAAACCUUUUAUGGGGAAAAAGAUCCUGGAACCUCCACCAUCUCUUAAGAAGGAGAUCCGAGCAGAUGAAGACUGAAUGAAAGCUUGGGAUGCUGGAAAGGCAGCGUAAGAAGUCUCAGUGCCAUCAUCCAAGAACAGGGAGCCCCAACUGGGGAGCCUAGAGAGGGACUGGAGAGUAAGGACAGCCCAGCCCGCAGUAAGGAAGCCUUGAGUGAAGCUUGCUGUCCCCUAUAAGCCUUUCUGCCCAGCCCUGCAGCUCUGCUGUAGUGCCAGGUAUUCCUCCUUGCAUCAUGUGGGGCUCUGUCCUUUCUUCCUCUGAGAGCAGCUCUCUGCCCUUGCGUUACCGACUCUUCUCUCGUUGAUUUCAGACCCCUCCUUCAGUGCACAGAGAUGCUUCCAAAUGCUCACUUCUCCCACCACAAAUCUGCAUGACACCCCACCUCUGUUCCCUGACAAAGAGCCAUUGGGCCAAGCCCCAUCCAACGCUGAGCCAUCAAUGCCUUUGGAAAUCUGGAUCAUGAGGGCAGCCGCUCUCUGGGCUGCCAAUGGCCCAAAGUUCUCCACCUCUGCCUUCAAAGACUUUCACAAGCAAUGGGAUCCGGCCCCAUAGCAGAUCUGUACCUGGUGGAUGUGCAUCACCAUUGGCUUUCAUGUCCUUGCUCUUUUCCAACUGUAAUCAUUCUCAGAUUUUUAUGAUCUGAACAAGGAAGGUUUAAGCUGUUGGGCCAUAGGAGACCCUGCUCUCCUCUUUGCUGCAGUCCCAGGUUUUUCCUGCCAGAAGACUUUCUCACUCCCACAUCCAGCAGGCUCAGCUUUCUUUGCCCUCCUCAGAGCCUGAUGGCUCAGUGAAGACAUCUCUAUGGAGAUGCACCUCUGGGGCAGCCAGCCAGCUGUGGAGCAAGAUGGGAGUAUCUUGGAUGCCUUGGUGGAAUUUGCAUGCUCUUAUUGCCAAGCUUGACAAAGAGCAAGGGCAGCCCUAAACCUGCCAAAUCGCAGUGGGAAUGCAGGGCAAUGGAAGGCAAGUGGCUCUUGGAGUGCUCAGACCCUCCUUGCCCUCGUGCCUCUAGGGAACCACCUCUUCUCCAACACCUCUAUGGAGUUCCCUUCCCAUGAAGCCAUUCUAUCCUGCCUGGUCUUCUGCCUGUGCUUUUUUCCACUGCGUCUCCCUUCCAAUUCUCCCUCUCCUCCCUGCAGUUUCUGCACUGAGCUGUACAGAGCUUUGUCCUGUUUCCCAAUGAAGGGCGAAGCACAAAAAUAAGUUGUGUGUUAUUUACACUCCUCUGGAUUGUGUGUGAACGGGAGCCCUGCAAUUUUAAAGCCUUUUAAAAUCAGUUAAAGAUUUAGAUUUCUCUGUUGGCGACAUUUGCAACUUGAUGUUGCUAAACACUUGAGUGCAGCUCAUUUGCAGACAUUAACGAGCACAUCAGAGGAGUCUGAAGCACCAACAGUGCUGCUCAUCUCCUGUUAUUUAUAAUACUCUGUCUCUGGAUAUCGCCCAGCCAAGAGCUGUUAGCCUGCAGCUGGAGCAUCCAUCUUCCUUCAGCAGAGCACCAGCAGCACGCACCAUGGCUGGGGGGUGCAUCCCCAUUGCUGGCUGCUGGGGGGCAGGAGCAGGCCACCAAGCAGCAAGAUCCCAGCUCCUGGUGAGCAUCACCAGAGCCAGACAGUGACCUCUUCACAAUGGGCUCAGUGUGCAAAGCAGCCUCAGAACCCUGCUCCUGUUCUCUGUGUCUGGGACCCAAUUAGAGCCCAGCAUCCUCCCGCAACCCAAGCAGAAUGACUGUUUUCUUCCACGUUAGGAUGACUGCAGGGACGUGAAGCGGUGAUUAUUCCUCUAAUUAAUGGUCAGAUUUACCCAGUAAUUGGCAAAUGAGAGACUCCACCAUCAGCCCUAGAACAUGGGAGAGUCAUCCCCUGUAAAUAGCUCUAAACGAGGCUCUUUGAACCAUUGGUUGCAUGGGAGGCAAUGAAUUACUUGCUGUGCUCAAGACAGACAUGUUAUUUAUUGAACUCAGAGAAUUAAGGCUUUCUGGUUUAUUGGAGAUGAACCUAAGCAAAUGUGAUUUAGGAUGUGAUUUAGGAGCCUGGAGUUGCUGGCAGCUCCUGGUAUGGCAUGCAGCAUGCUGUGCCAUGGCAAGGGGGAUUUACAGCUCUUUGUUGCUGGAGUAUGAUGCAUUAUUAAUCAGUCAUAUUUUAGGAGAUCCAAAUUUAUGUAGGCUCUAAUUAGACUGCUCUCUUUUUAAUCUUGGAGUGUGCACAGGACUUAAUGGUACAUGGGAGCGUAGCAUGGAGGGGUGUGCCCUGGGACAUCAUUACCUCCUCUGCUCUCACAUCCAUCUGCAGGAUGCCAUUAGGAUUUGUCUCUAUGAUGACAAUGCCAUGCAGCAUCCCUUGCAUCUCCUGAGCCAUCAGCCAGAUCUCUUUGCUUUGCACAGGUAAAACCAAGGCUAUUAGAGAGGAGGCCUUGAGCUGAAUGCGUGGAGUGGGGAGCAGCGUGCUUGGCAUGCAGCAUGAGUGCAGGAAAACGAAUGCUGAAAUGGACUGAGGCACUUGGAAUAGGAGUUGUUUCCAUCGCAUGGGAAGGAGCAGUGCCUCUGCUGUGUCCCUGGAUGAACCCAGCUCUGCUCAGUGCCAGCUCCACAACCGCUGCCCUGCUAUGGAAAGGGGGUGACCAACCAAGAGCAACCUCACACGGGCAUUCUGAGCCAGCUGAUGGGAGCAUCCCUCGUUGGUAGGGCAGCAAAGGAACCUGAGCAGGAUUUGGCCCCAGGGACUGCUCACAGCCAAGUUUGCUUGGUAGAGGAGUCAGAGUCUCACAGCUGGUCCCUAUGGCUUGCUUCUGUUGGAGCAGGGGCAGCAGGAAUGGGUGGGAAAAGGUUCUGGAAGGCACUGGGCUCAGAGCUUGUGUAAGGCACACACAGCAGCCUGGGACUGAGAAUGUAAAUGGAGGCAUGCAGAAAGAAGCAGGUGAAGUGCUUCAGCACAGCAUCGGGGUGGGAGAUAGAGCAGGGCUGCUGAAAGUGGGGGAAGAAAAUCCUCAUCCCACUGACACCUCCAAAGAAAAGGGGAUAAAACCUCAUUACAGAACCUGAUGAGAAGUUCAAACUAAGCUCAUCUACCCAUGGAGAGAAGGAAAAAAAAUAAAGCAGCCUUCUCAUUUCCUCCCCUUUUUUCUCCCUGCCCGUACAGCCAUAUGCAUUUAUAUGUACUUAGAGGACUUCAAACAAUUUUGCUGCUGCUUCUGCUGAUCUCCUCGCUCGCUGCUGAGCGCUUCUUCAAAUGGAAAGGCAUCACAACUCCUCCUCCUCAGAGCGUCGGGCCCCAGUUUUCCUAUCAACCAUUUCAAACCACUUAUCCACUCAGCAGCUUUUCGGAUGGAGAACUCCCUGGAGCCGCACGCUCAUCUCUGAGCACCUGUAAUUUUAAAUUAAAGGAAGGGGAAAGGCUCAUCCUCCUCUGAGGCCGCAUCUCCCACCUGCAGCACCAGGGCUGCCCGUGCUUGGUGCCCUCCCUGCUUUGCUCUGCCCAUGGAUGCAAUGAACAGAAAUGGCACAGAAAGCAAAUCAGGGAGCAAUUGCUGGGUGAUCUCAUUGCACUGGCAAGCGUGGCUUGGAUGGGUUGCAAACUGCUCCAGCUUCUUCCGAUGUCAUUGCACCGGGGCGUUGUAUUUAAGGCAAAAAAGCACAGCUCAGGAAGCAGUGUCUCUGCACAGGGAUAAACAGGAGGCAUUUUUUCCACAUGAGCAUGUCUGAUGAGCUCCAGGCCACAUCUGCCUGCUGAUUGCUGGCCUGGGUGGCUGUGGGAUGCAGUGGGACCAGGAAGGUGCCCCUGGAACAGCGAGCAGUGAUGAACAGCAGAGGAGCACUGUGAGGCCCUGCAGAGAGCACCCAGCCUGGUGGCACAGCAGUUAGGUGGCAGCUGUGCUGAGUAAUGGCUCUGUUGCUGAUCUAUUAUUGAAAGUGAUGGAAUAAUAAUACACUGUAGAGAAAAGCAGCACCGUGACACAGAAGGGUGUGAAGUGACUUGAAAUUAUCUGGUAUAAAUACUCCAGAAGCCCCGACAGGUGAAGUCUGAAUGAGCCAGGAGAGCCCACGGGAGGCAUUUCACAGCAGAACCCUACAGAAAGCAAAAGCUGUUCUGUGUGCUGAGCAUCAGCUGUGGAAAACUAUGUGGUGUGGGUGGCCCUGGGGCACAAAGCAGUGAUGCAGAUAAAUGCCCAGGCACGUCGCUGUGAGGAGGGAGUGAAAGGAAGCCUUGUGCUAACGGGCUGGAGGAGAGCCUGUGAGCCCAGGGAUUGUGGGGAGACAGAGUGGGGCUGGAGGGUCUCUGCCAUGAGGGCAAAAGCUGCUCCCUGGGGCUGGUGGGGCACUGAGGCUCUGCUGAGGAUGGGGCUGCAGGUCGUGGCUGGUUUAGGAGAGAAGCUGAGAGCAGGGAUGGAGCGCUCUCACUAUGGAGGGUUUUGUAGACUUCCAGGGCCAGCUGUUCCAUAGGCAGUUCUCCCAGUUAAACCAGCACAGCACCAGCUGGCAUCGAUUUGGGCUGUGUGACCUCCUCCAGCCUGCAGACUUGGCUCAGCCUCUGAAGAAGCUGGCCUUGAUGGCAAUGGGGUCUCGCUUCAAACUGGGUCUUGCUUUGAGCGAGGGGAUCGACUGGGGGUGUCUCCUGUCCCUUCCUCUGCCACCGUUCUGUGGUGCCCUCUGUGUUCCUGGGCAGCCUCCCUGGAGCAAUCCCUGCUGAACAAUCCCUGCUGAAGCUGCUGCACUCAUCCACCCAGAAUGGGAUGGCUUCAAACUCAGGGCUCUGUGGGGUUUUUUUUCCACUCUAAAAAUAGUGAUGAUUCAGGAGAAACCCAGCAGUAGAACCCUUCCUCCAUAAAUCACAGGCCCAUAGAAUAGCUUGGGUUGGAAGGACCUCAAAGAUCACCUUGUCCCAACCUUCAGGAGCUGCUCUUUGGAAUGGGACCCACCAGGAUCCUUCAAGUGGUCCAAGCAGUGCUCGUGGGGCCAUUGGAACACAGCACAAACAUAAAUAUGGCAUAUUAAAUACACAAAGGAAGGAAAAGUUGCUAAUUGCCCACGAAUAACAAGCUGUAACCACGUAGCUCACUUAAUUAGAAAAGAAAUUAAUCACAACAUGGAAGGCACGCUUUAAUUAUAGCAAGGCAUUGCACUGAGUGAUAAUGAGCAUCACCGGAGCCGGAAAGCGCUGCUGUUUGCAAUCUCAUUUUGGUCUCUCACUGCAUGCUCACGCAUCCCCUGUGCAGCAGAUAGCCUUGCUCUGAGCAGGGAAUGGGACCAGAGACCUCCAGACACCUCUUCCUCCCACCCGGAGCUUCCCACGCGUCACGUCAGACCAAACACAGUCUGCUCCAACCUGAUUUGUUCCAUGAUUCUACUGACACGACGCUGUGGUUUCGUCUUUAUGCCUAAGAACCUUCAGGAUCUCUUAUUCCUUCUGCUUUCCGCAU